GCUCUCGUGGCCGAGUGGUUAAGGCGAUGGACUCGAAAUCCAUUGGGAAAAUCCCGCGCAGGUUCGAAUCCUGCCGGCUGCG
RNAcentral lists this transfer RNA (82 nucleotides) under Ixodes scapularis (black-legged tick). RNAcentral describes it as "tRNA-Ser". It matches the Rfam family "tRNA". From Rfam's summary of the family: Transfer RNA (tRNA) molecules are approximately 80 nucleotides in length. Their secondary structure includes four short double-helical elements and three loops (D, anti-codon, and T loops). Further hydrogen bonds mediate the characteristic L-shaped molecular structure. tRNAs have two regions of fundamental functional importance: the anti-codon, which is responsible for specific mRNA codon recognition, and the 3' end, to which the tRNAs corresponding amino acid is attached (by aminoacyl-tRNA synthetases). tRNAs cope with the degeneracy of the genetic code in two manners: having more than one tRNA (with a specific anti-codon) for a particular amino acid; and 'wobble' base-pairing, i.e. permitting non-standard base-pairing at the 3rd anti-codon position. The record is from RNAcentral. Lineage: Eukaryota; Metazoa; Arthropoda; Arachnida; Ixodida; Ixodidae.